Molecule: ribosomal RNA, 493 nt
Filed under: uncultured Acidobacteriota bacterium
Lineage: Bacteria; Pseudomonadati; Acidobacteriota
Description: SSU rRNA
Rfam family: Bacterial small subunit ribosomal RNA
Source: RNAcentral
CAGCUAGUUGGUGAGGUAAAAGCCCACCAAGGCAUAGAUCGGUAGCCGGCCUGAGAGGGCACACGGCCACACUGGCACUGAAACACGGGCCAGACUCCUACGGGAGGCAGCAGUGGGGAAUCUUGCACAAUGGGGGAAACCCUGAUGCAGCGACGCCGCGUGAGCGAUGAAGCCCUUCGGGGUGUAAAGCUCUUUCGGCAGGGAAGAUUAUGACGGUACCUGCAGAAGCAGCUGCGGCUAACUACGUGCCAGCAGCCGCGGUAAUACGUAGGCAGCGAGCGUUGUUCGGAGUUACUGGGCGUAAAGGGUGUGUAGGCGGUUCUUUAAGUUUGGUGUGAAAUCUCCCGGCUCAACUGGGAGGGUGCGCCGAAUACUGAGGGACUAGAGUACGGGAGAGGAAAGUGGAACUCCUGGUGUAGCGGUGAAAUGCGUAGAUAUCAGGAGGAACACCGGUGGUGUAGACGGCUUUCUGGACCGUAACUGACGCUGAGAC